AUCAUCAUUACCAGCUGCCGUGUUAAGCAUUGCGAAAACGCUCACGAUUCACAGAAAAAUCCAUGCUGUUCUUUGAAGGCAUUCAAGCCUUAAUAGCUAGCUGGAUGAAUGUUUAACUUCUAGGCCAGGCACUACUCUGUCCCAACAAUAAGCCCUGUACAUUGGGAAAGGUGCCGAGACAUGAACUUUGGUCUUCUCUGCAAUCCAUCUGGAGCAUUCACUGACAACAUCGACUUUGAAGUUGCACUGACCUGGCCAGCCCUGCCACUUACCAGGUUGGCUCUGUAUGGCUAAGCGUUUUCUCCUAAAAUCCCUUGAAAACUGUGAGAAGACCAUAAGAAGAUCAUAUCUUUAAUUCUAUUUCACAAGUCACACAAUAUUCCAAUCAAAUACAGAUGGUUGAGAAAAGUCAUCCAUCUUCCCUCCCCACCCUCCCACAGCCCCUCAACCACUGCCCUGAAACUUAUAUGCUGUUAUCCGCAGCUCCAUCUGGAGCAUCACAGCUACUGUCAACCCUGACGCUCUUUCUGAAAAAACACCGGAUGGACAUCAGAACUAUUUCUUUAAGGAUGUUACUGAGCCACACAGGAAAACUUGCCUUAUGAUUUUGAAUGCACGGAUCUGAUUUGACUAAACAUGAUAACUAGAGAAUCACCCAAUCUACUCCCAUUUUCAACUCUAAAUCAUCAGAGUGUCUCAAAUCCAAAGCACACACAGACCAGCCUGGCCAACACGGUGAAACUCCACCCCUACUAAAAGUAUAAAAAUUAUCCAGGUGUGGUGGCGGGCGCCUGUAAUCCAAGCUACUUGGGAGUCUGGAGGCAGGAGAAUCCCUUGAACCUGGGAGAUGGAGGUUGCAGUGAGCAGAGAUCACACCACCGCACUCUAGCCUGGGCCACAAAUCAACAACAACAACAACAACAAAAAACAAAGCGCACACAGAGACUGAGGUCCUCUUUGGCAUUGAGAAGAUGGCUAUGCAAGUCCCAACUAGCAAGUGCAAACUUCCCAGCUUCACUUCUGCCAGUGUCCCUUCACCCCUUCUCAACCCCACUGGGAGGCAGGAGGGUGCUUGACAAUAACAGCCUUGGCAUCACUCUGCCAGGGUGUAAUAGGAACUGUUACAAUUCUGAGAUUCUGUGUAAGCACUGGCCUUUCUGCCUAGAAUGCCUUCUCCUCUCUUUUUUAACUGCAUGCUCCUAUUUAUCUUUCAAAGCCCGGAAAAAAUAACACUGCACACGGGAAAUGCUCCCUUCCUACUGCAGUCAUUUAGAUGACUCUAUGCCAUUCCAUUCAUUUCUCUUUCCUACCACAGAAGUGCUUUGAGAUUUUGGAGUCAGACUGCUUGAACUUGAAUCCUGGCCCUCUCAUCAGAGACUUGACUUAUUUUAGGCAAGUUAUAUAACCAAUUUUACCUCAGUUCCUUACCCAUAAAAUGGGUCUAAUGAGAGUACCUACCACACAGAAUUUUGAUGAAAACUGAAUGAGAUGAAGGCCUUUAAGGCAGUGGUCCCCAACCCUGGGGACACAGACAGGUACCAUUUUGUGGCCUGUUAGGAACUGGGCCACACAGCAGGAGGUGAGCAGUGGGUGAGUGAGAUCAGCGUUAUUUACAGCUGCUCCCCAUUGCUCACCUUACUGCCUGAGCUCCACCUCCUGUCAGAUCAGCAGUGGCAUUAAAUUCUCAUAGCAGCACAAACCCUGUCAUGAACUGCACAUGCGAGGGAUCUAGGUUGUGCGCUCCUUAUGAGAAUCUAAUGCCUAAUGACCUGUCACCGUCUCCCAUCACCCCUAGAUGGGAGUGUCUAGUUGCAGGAAACAAGCUCAGGGCUUCCACUGAUUCUACAUUAUGGUGAGUUGUAUAAUUAUUUCAUUAUAUAAUACAAUGUAAUAAUAAUAGAAACACAGUGCACAACAAAUGUAAUGUGCUUGAAUCAUCCCCAAACCAUCCCAGUCCACGGUCUUCCACAUUUUGUCUUUUCACAAAAUUGUCUUCCACAAAACUGGUCCCUGGUGCCAAAAAGGCUUGGGACCACUGCUUUAAAGCCUUUGCAUAGUGCUUAGAAUUGAGGGGGAAAAAAAAAACAAAAACAAUGUAGCUAGUUGCUACAAUCACUAUAUUGGUGAGUUU
Molecule: long non-coding RNA, 2131 nt
Filed under: Homo sapiens (human)
Lineage: Eukaryota; Metazoa; Chordata; Mammalia; Primates; Hominidae
Description: HSALNT0143573
Source: RNAcentral